GAGCGCCGUACGCACUACAGAGCGGCAGACGGGAGAGUCACACGUGGGAACGUGCCCUUUGGUCCGGCAACAACCCAGGUGUAACUUGGGCUAAUACCGGAUAAGUCCGUAAGGAGAAAUGCAUUUAUGUGCCAAAGGAUCGGCCCUCGCGUCUGAUUACGCAUACCUUGGUGAGGUCACGGCUCACCAAGGCAACGAUCUGUAUACUGGUCUGAGAGGAUGAUCAACACCUCACCUGGCGUCUGAGACACGGCCCACUACUACUUACGGGAGGCCAGC
RNAcentral lists this ribosomal RNA (279 nucleotides) under uncultured forest soil bacterium. Its description in RNAcentral is "partial 16S ribosomal RNA". It matches the Rfam family "Bacterial small subunit ribosomal RNA", at positions 73 to 349 of the family's 1533-position model. The record is from RNAcentral.